RNAcentral lists this ribosomal RNA (563 nucleotides) under Colletotrichum gloeosporioides. RNAcentral describes it as "eukaryotic LSU rRNA". The stretch from base 203 to 356 matches the Rfam family "5.8S ribosomal RNA". The record is from RNAcentral. Lineage: Eukaryota; Fungi; Ascomycota; Sordariomycetes; Glomerellales; Glomerellaceae.
UCCGUAGGUGAACCUGCGGAGGGAUCAUUACUGAGUUUACGCUCUACAACCCUUUGUGAACAUACCUAUAACUGUUGCUUCGGCGGGUAGGGUCUCCGUGACCCUCCCGGCCUCCCGCCCCCGGGCGGGUCGGCGCCCGCCGGAGGAUAACCAAACUCUGAUUUAACGACGUUUCUUCUGAGUGGUACAAGCAAAUAAUCAAAACUUUUAACAACGGAUCUCUUGGUUCUGGCAUCGAUGAAGAACGCAGCGAAAUGCGAUAAGUAAUGUGAAUUGCAGAAUUCAGUGAAUCAUCGAAUCUUUGAACGCACAUUGCGCCCGCCAGCAUUCUGGCGGGCAUGCCUGUUCGAGCGUCAUUUCAACCCUCAAGCUCUGCUUGGUGUUGGGGCCCUACAGCUGAUGUAGGCCCUCAAAGGUAGUGGCGGACCCUCCCGGAGCCUCCUUUGCGUAGUAACUUUACGUCUCGCACUGGGAUCCGGAGGGACUCUUGCCGUAAAACCCCCCAAUUUUCCAAAGGUUGACCUCGGAUCAGGUAGGAAUACCCGCUGAACUUAAGCAUAUCA